GUUUGAGUGGCAUAAUGGAUGGAAUGCUGGGCUUUAGAGUCAGACAGAAAUGGGUUCAGAUCCCAUCUCAGACA
RNAcentral lists this transfer RNA (74 nucleotides) under Monodelphis domestica (gray short-tailed opossum). It matches the Rfam family "tRNA". From Rfam's summary of the family: Transfer RNA (tRNA) molecules are approximately 80 nucleotides in length. Their secondary structure includes four short double-helical elements and three loops (D, anti-codon, and T loops). Further hydrogen bonds mediate the characteristic L-shaped molecular structure. tRNAs have two regions of fundamental functional importance: the anti-codon, which is responsible for specific mRNA codon recognition, and the 3' end, to which the tRNAs corresponding amino acid is attached (by aminoacyl-tRNA synthetases). tRNAs cope with the degeneracy of the genetic code in two manners: having more than one tRNA (with a specific anti-codon) for a particular amino acid; and 'wobble' base-pairing, i.e. permitting non-standard base-pairing at the 3rd anti-codon position. Lineage: Eukaryota; Metazoa; Chordata; Mammalia; Didelphimorphia; Didelphidae. The record is from Rfam by way of RNAcentral.